Suricata suricatta (meerkat) is the source of this 997-nucleotide long non-coding RNA. RefSeq lists it as uncharacterized. NCBI's taxonomy places the organism in Eukaryota, Metazoa, Chordata, Mammalia, Carnivora, Herpestidae. The record is from RefSeq and is a predicted model, not a curated record. The transcript has 3 exons.
AGGAAGUAGUCCAUCACAGAUAUUAAUAAUGGUCCAAGGGCUUGUGUCCAGAACUGCAAAUCGCACCAAGUAAAACAGAUAAGUGAAGCAGAAAGGAGAGAUGAGUGAUAUAUCUCAGAGUCCCCCUACUUGGCAUGUUUCAGGAGACCUCAAAGGCUUAUCUCCUAUAUCUCUGGACACUUCUUAAAGACACAUCCAAGUGUGUGGGGGUUCCCAUUGGAACAGGGAGAAUCCCACCAGCAGUGACCUGAGCCCUCCAUACACAAGUCCCCUCCAGCAUCAAGUGCCAGUAGCUUUGUCCUGAGCCCCUCUUUUUCCUGUGGAUAAAACCUCUUCCUCAUUAGUAAUUUACAGAUGCAGUAUUGAGAAGGAGAUGAAAAGGGCUACAUGCAAAAGCCAGGAAAAAAAGGAUAAAUAUCAUGUGGGGUGAGUCCUCAGGAUGCUGUGGCCUCAGGAGGGAGAAGAGAACCGCUAAUCAAGAUGUAUAAGGAAGCUGAGUCAUACAGAGCAUUGAUGAAGCGGCUAUGGAGGAAAGACCACUGUCCUGCUCAGAAACUGAGGAUGCCACAUGCCUGAUGGUCCUGUGAUUACUGUUGUAUAACAGAGCAAUCUACUCCCUGGGUGAGCUGCUCAGAUCACCUUUUAAGACUGAGGCACUCAUUCCCUUGGGAAUGAUGGUUCUCAAUAUGUUCUCACACUACUCUGAAAAGAGCCACCUUGUCCAAUGGGCAGCCCCCAUCUAAUUACUGGUCCUUAUGGGAUCGGCUGAUUCCUUUUUUUUUUUUUUUUUGAUGAUUUCAUUGCAGUUCAAGCCUUCCUUAUGUGCAAUCUUACAUCCUUUGCUUCUCCAUAAAAAUUGAACUCAACUGUGCUCCCCACUAAAUCUUUGCAUAUGAAGCUCUAUCUCAGAAUUUGUUUCCUGGGAAACUCAACCAAAAAUAUAACAGCAACUGAGGUGGAGACAAUGGUGAAAGAAGUCUGUCUUUACUUAGGAAGC